GUGCAUCCUUAUAAACCCCCCAGUUGCUAUUCCUAGCCUCUGGGACAAGAAAGGAUGCAAAAACAAACUUAGAAUUGUCCAAAGCUAAGGGCUUUGUUCCAGUGGCUCUUGGCUAUUUCACUUCUUAAACAUUU
This is a small nucleolar RNA of Megalops cyprinoides (Indo-Pacific tarpon), 134 nucleotides long. RefSeq annotates it as small nucleolar RNA SNORA14. The record is from RefSeq and is a predicted model, not a curated record. Lineage: Eukaryota; Metazoa; Chordata; Actinopteri; Elopiformes; Megalopidae. The transcript has a single exon.